AGUAGUAUCCAUUAAGAGGUCG
Molecule: microRNA, 22 nt
Filed under: Drosophila pseudoobscura pseudoobscura
Lineage: Eukaryota; Metazoa; Arthropoda; Insecta; Diptera; Drosophilidae
Description: mir-968-RA
Source: RNAcentral